Molecule: unclassified non-coding RNA, 343 nt
Filed under: soil metagenome
Description: partial contains 5.8S ribosomal RNA, internal transcribed spacer 2, and large subunit ribosomal RNA
Rfam family: 5.8S ribosomal RNA (bases 1-120)
Source: RNAcentral
GAUGAAGAACGUAGCGAAAUGCGAUAAGUAAUGUGAAUUGCAGAAUUCAGUGAAUCAUCGAAUCUUUGAACGCUCAUUGCGCCCGCUAGUAUUCUGGCGGGCAUGCCUGUCCGAGCGUCAUUUCAACCCUCAAGCCCCCGGGCUUGGUGUUGGGGAUCGGCGAGCCUCCGCGCCCGCCGUCCCCUAAAUCUAGUGGCGGUCUCGCUGUAGCUUCCUCUGCGUAGUAGCACACCUCGCACUGGGAAACAGCGCGGCCACGCCGUUAAACCCCCAACUUCUGAACGUUUGACCUCGGAUCAGGUAGGAAUACCCGCUGAACUUAAGCAUAUCAAUAAGCGGAGGA